Molecule: long non-coding RNA, 859 nt
Organism: Sciurus carolinensis (gray squirrel)
Lineage: Eukaryota; Metazoa; Chordata; Mammalia; Rodentia; Sciuridae
Exons: 3
Source: RefSeq, a predicted model, not a curated record
UGGCAUCGGGCACCCACGGGGUCUUUACUGCAUGCCUGCUCUGUGCCAGGCACAGUCUUUGACCCCCAGGAAAUGGCAGAGGGCAGGGCAGGGUCCCUGGCAUGAGAGGCUGGCCACCGGUCAGUGGGGCUGUCGCCGGGGGAGGAGACAAGGAAACCAAGGCCCUGACUACUCCAUGCAGUGUCACUGGAAGCAGAGCGGAGCCAGGUGUGAACCCAAGGUCGGCUGCUCCCCGCAGGGCACCGCUACCUGCCAGCCUCAGCGGCCCGUCGGCAAUGCCUGGAGACACCUUGCUGAAGAGGCUGCUGGAUUUCUAUAGGACUGAAUCAGAGACGGAGCUGCCUGGCGGAGAUGUCUGAACAUCUACGGCUUCGCCUCAAGUUCCAGUCGGUCCUCAGAGGCGCCUCCUGGGUGGUUCAUAAACAAGAAAUCGGUCGCUCACGGUUCCAGAGGCCCAGCAGUCCAAGACCAAGUUGCCCGCAGAUUCGGUGCCCGGCGAGGACUGCUUUCUGGUCCACAGAUGGCGCCUUCUCCAGGUGUUUCCACACAGAGCAAGGAACAGGCAGCUCUCUGGGGCCUCCUUUCAAGAGGCACCAAUCCUAGCCAGAGGACAGGCCCUCAUGAUCUAAUCACCGCCCCAAACUCCACCACCUAACAUCGUCACCUUGGUGAUCAGGUUUCAGCUUAUGAAUUUUGAGGGUAGACACUCAAAUGGUUUCACCUACCAAUUACUCCCUACCAUCCACCAGCCUCACCUCCUAACCACCUGGCAGUCUCCACCUCGAACACACCAUCACCUCCACCACCUCCCCAUCGCCACCUCUAUCACCUCCUUCAUCACUACCUCCACCUUCUCCAU